Long non-coding RNA from Lynx canadensis (Canada lynx), 97 nucleotides. RefSeq lists it as uncharacterized. The transcript has 3 exons. The record is from RefSeq and is a predicted model, not a curated record. Lineage: Eukaryota; Metazoa; Chordata; Mammalia; Carnivora; Felidae.
UUUCACUUAAACACUCAGAGGCCAUUAUAGGGUUACUAAUUGGCCUAAUUUCAGUAUUGUGUCUCAGGGAAUAGGGAGGCCCUAGGAGAGGGAGACA